GACGAACGCUGGCGGCGUGCUUAACACAUGCAAGUCGAACGGAAAGGCCCUGCUUUUGUGGGGUGCUCGAGUGGCGAACGGGUGAGUAACACGUGAGUAACCUGCCCUUGACUUUGGGAUAACUUCAGGAAACUGGGGCUAAUACCGGAUAGGAGCUCCUGCUGCAUGGUGGGGGUUGGAAAGUUUCGGCGGUUGGGGAUGGACUCGCGGCUUAUCAGCUUGUUGGUGGGGUAGUGGCUUACCAAGGGUUUGACGGGUAGCCGGCCUGAGAGGGUGACCGGCCACAUUGGGACUGAGAUACGGACCAGAAUCCUACGGGACGCAGCAGUGGAGAAUAUUGCACAAUGGGCGGACGCCUGAUGCAGCAACGCCGCGUGCGGGAUGACGGCCUUCGGGUUGUAAACAGCUUUCGCAUGUGACGAAGCGUGAGUGACGGUAAUGGGUAAAGAAGCACCGGCUAACUACGUG
This 468-nucleotide ribosomal RNA is filed under the name uncultured bacterium. RNAcentral's name for it is "partial 16S ribosomal RNA". It matches the Rfam family "Bacterial small subunit ribosomal RNA", at positions 28 to 507 of the family's 1533-position model. The record is from RNAcentral.